This is a long non-coding RNA of Planococcus citri (citrus mealybug), 1233 nucleotides long. RefSeq lists it as uncharacterized. Lineage: Eukaryota; Metazoa; Arthropoda; Insecta; Hemiptera; Pseudococcidae. The record is from RefSeq and is a predicted model, not a curated record. The transcript has 3 exons.
GUAGUAUCAGCUCACUAUAAUCUAUGAGCUUCUAUGAUAACACGUGUUUAUUGGAUGUCAAAUUUUUUUCUGAGAAAAAAUGAAACAUUUAGACUCGGUAAAGUGAUUUGGUAGGUAUCUAUUGCGAACUGAACGAAAUGGAAUUAUUCAUUAGAUUUGUGUUAGCAUUGUUAUCUGUGAUUUUCAUGCUUUCAAGAGGACAUGGUAGCGGGAACGCUGAGGAUUCGUCAUUUUCAUCUGCAGAGUAUCGUUAUAUGUUAAAUCGGAGUCUGUUCAAAAAUUAUUUCAAAUAUAUGAAACGUGUUGACCAAAUUACAGGAUUUAUUUGUUCCUGCGCGCUUAUCAGACAGACGAUCAAUGUGCAUUACCAAAUAGCUUCGAAUUUUGAUCUCCGUCGUGCUGGUCGUUGUUUGGAUGCAUUUGAGUACUACGUUGAAAAUCAUAAAAAUCCAACAUGUUUUAAUCUUCGAGGACGGGAUGCUGAUAUGCCCGGACUAUUGCAAUUUACGGAGUAUCCACGGUUCGCUUCAGCUCUUUGCGGUUCCUAUGACAAAUGCUCUAAACAUAUACAUUCCGACUCCAAAACUGUGCAAGUUCUUAAACAGUUGAAAGAUGGAACACCAUUGACAAUCACUGAAAUAUUUCGAAAGCUAGGGUUUGUAAUCACCGUUGAUGACAUGAGAUAUGUUAACAUAUUUCUAAAUGCUUCUGGAAUUGCACCGUUCCCAUUUCUAAAGUUUGUUAAAUUUGACAAAGAAUAUGCGAUUCCACAAGUACGAAAUUUUUCUGAUCGGUUGCAAUGUCCGAAGUACUUCAAGCGGCCUAAUUUUACAGUAUGCAUGUCCGGAUUCUGGGCAAACUUAUGAAAGUUAGAAAUCGAGGUACCUAGCUACCUACAUAGUUUUGAAUUUUUCAUCUGGACUCGGAUGAUCGGGAGGGAGGGAGGGGGGGGGGUGCAAUUAAUCCAUGUAUGCCAUAUGCCGGACUAUAAGUGUAAAAAUUCUUAUUCUCAUUUUUGGAUUUUUGGAGGUCUCAAAUAUGAUUUUCAACAUUUUAAAACAAACAACGAAUUGAUGGCAAAAUUUUUUGAAAAAUCGUACGUAUUACGAGAAGCAUAAGAACGACGUUUCUUAUGGGAGUUUAUUUUUCGGAUUCUAAAAUUUUAGAAUUUGAAUGAUGUUUUGAGUAUUUAUUUUUUAGGAAGUACCUUUCUUCAAAUAAAAAUCUUUUACG